GAAGAACGCUGGCGGCGUGCUUAACACAGGCAAGUCGAACGGAGUGGCGAAAGGGUGAGUAACACGUGGGUGAUCUGCCUUGCACUUCGGGAUAAGCUUGGGAAACUGGGUCUAAUACCGGAUAGUGCAAGAUGAGCUCGCGGCCUAUCAGCUUGUUGGUGGGGUAAUGGCCUACCAAGGCGUCGACGGGUAGCCGGCCUGAGAGGGUGUACGGCCACAUUGGGACUGAGAUCCGGCCCAGACUCCUACGGGAGGCAGCAGUGGGGAAUAUUGCACAAUGGGCGGAAGCCUGAUGCAGCGCCGCCGCGUGGGGGAUGAAGGCCUUCGGUUUUUUUUCUCCUUUCUACGGGGACGCCGUACCUGUUCAACAAGCACCUCCUAUCUACAUGCCAGACGCCGCGUUAGUAC
Molecule: ribosomal RNA, 408 nt
Filed under: uncultured bacterium
Lineage: Bacteria
Description: partial 16S ribosomal RNA
Rfam family: Bacterial small subunit ribosomal RNA
Source: RNAcentral